ACGGGGACCCGCACAAGCGGUGGAUGAUGUGGUUUAAUUCGAUGCAACGCGAAAAACCUUACCCACCUUUGACAUGGCAGGAAGUUUCCAGAGAUGGAUUCGUGCCCGAAAGGGAACCUGCACACAGGUGCUGCAUGGCUGUCGUCAGCUCGUGUCGUGAGAUGUUGGGUUAAGUCCCGCAACGAGCGCAACCCUUGCCAUUAGUUGCUACGAAAGGGCACUCUAAUGGGACUGCCGGUGACAAACCGGAGGAAGGUGGGGAUGACGUCAAGUCCUCAUGGCCCUUAUAGGUGGGGCUACACACGUCAUACAAUGGCUGGUACAGAGGGUUGCCAACCCGCGAGGGGGAGCUAAUCCCAUAAAGCCAGUCGUAGUCCGGAUCGCAGUCUGCAACUCGACUGCGUGAAGUCGGAAUCGCUAGUAAUCGCGGAUCAGAAUGUCGCGGUGAAUACGUUCCCGGGUCCUGUACACACCGCCCGUCACACCAUGGGAGCGGGUUCUGCCAGAAGUAGGUAGCCUAACCGUAAGGAGGGCGCUUACCACGGCAGGGUUCGUGACUGGGGUGAAGUCGUAACAAGGUAACCAAGGGC
RNAcentral lists this ribosomal RNA (590 nucleotides) under uncultured bacterium. RNAcentral describes it as "bacterial SSU rRNA". It matches the Rfam family "Bacterial small subunit ribosomal RNA", at positions 913 to 1507 of the family's 1533-position model. The record is from RNAcentral.